RNAcentral lists this unclassified non-coding RNA (324 nucleotides) under soil metagenome. RNAcentral describes it as "partial contains 5.8S ribosomal RNA, internal transcribed spacer 2, and large subunit ribosomal RNA". The stretch from base 1 to 120 matches the Rfam family "5.8S ribosomal RNA", at positions 35 to 154 of the family's 154-position model. The record is from RNAcentral.
GAUGAAGAACGCAGUGAAAUGCGAUAAGUAGUGUGAAUUGCAGAAUUCAGUGAAUCAUCGAAUCUUUGAACGCACAUUGCGCCCCUUGGUAUUCCAUGGGGCAUGCCUGUUCGAGCGUCAUUUGUACCUUCAAGCUUUGCUUGGUGUUGGGUGUUUGUCCCUCGGGACUCGCAUUAAAGUCAUUGGCAGCCAGUGUUUUGGUUUUGAAGCGCAGCACAAGUCGCGAUUCAAGGCUAUCCGCCCGCUUCCACAAGCCUUUUUCACUUUUGACCUCGGAUCAGGUAGGGAUACCCGCUGAACUUAAGCAUAUCAAUAAGCGGAGGA